RNA transcript from Numida meleagris (helmeted guineafowl), 7539 nucleotides. It is a transcript of the gene named EARP complex and GARP complex interacting protein 1, with no coding region annotated. The transcript has 20 exons. The record is from RefSeq and is a predicted model, not a curated record. Lineage: Eukaryota; Metazoa; Chordata; Aves; Galliformes; Numididae.
GCUGCGCUGGGUCUGCCCCGGGAAGCGGCCGACGGGCAGCGCCGAGGGCCAGAAAGGAGCGGCGGGGUGAGGCGGGCGUUGUGUGCCGGCAUGGAGGACGACGCGCCGGUGAUCUACGGGCUGGAGUUCCAGGCACGAGCGUUAACACCUCAGACAGCAGAAACAGAUGCAAUAAGAUUUUUGGUUGGAACACAGUCUCUUAGAUAUGAUAAUCAGAUUCACAUCAUAGAUUUUGACGAUGAAAAUAACAUCAUAAACAAAAAUGUGCUUCUUCAUCAAGUGGGUGAGAUCUGGCACAUAAGUGCCAGUCCUGCAGAUAAAGGUGUGCUAGCAACUUGCUACAAUAAAACUUCAGACAGUAAAGUCAUGACAUGUGCUGCUGUUUGGAGGAUGCCGAAGGAAUUGGAAUCAGGCAGUCAUGAAUCCCCAGAUGAUUCAUCAAGCAACACUCAAACCCUGGAGCUACUCUGUCACCUUGACAACACAGCCCAUGGCAAUAUGGCCUGCGUUAUGUGGGAACCAAUGGGAGAUGGUAGAAAGAUCAUUUCUCUGGCUGAUAACAACAUAUUAUUGUGGGAUUUGCAGGAAAGUUCAGCCAAAGCUGUGCUCUCUAGUUCUGCAGCCUUAGAAGGGAAAGGACAAUUAAGGUUUACUUCAGGAAGAUGGAGUCCACACCACAAUUGUACACAGAUUGCAACAGCCAAUGAUACCACUGUUCGAGGAUGGGAUACACGAAGCAUGAGGCAGAUAUAUUGCAUAGAAAAUGCACAUGGACAGCUGGUACGAGACCUCGACUUUAAUCCCAAUAAACAGUACUACCUGGCUAGCUGUGGAGAUGACUGCAAGGUGAAAUUCUGGGACACAAGAAAUGUCACAGAACCAGUGAAGACACUAGAGGAGCAUUCCCACUGGGUCUGGAAUGUCAGAUAUAAUCAUUCUCAUGAUCAGCUGAUCCUUACAGGAAGCAGUGAUAGCAGAGUUAUACUGUCUAAUAUGGUAUCAAUUUCUUCUGAACCAUUUGGACAUAUGGUAGAUGAUGAUGAACUGAGUGACCAAGAGGAGCAGCAUCAAGAAGAGAAGAUUAAAGAGCCCCUUCAGGACAGUGUAAUAGCUACCUAUGAAGAACAUGAAGAUAGUGUAUAUGCAGUUGAAUGGUCCUCAGCAGACCCAUGGCUAUUUGCCUCUCUAAGUUAUGAUGGGAGACUUGUUAUUAACAGGGUUCCAAGAGCUCUUAAAUAUCACAUACUAUUAUAAUUUGUUUGGAUUAUGAUGGAAUUGUUAUCUUGGUGUACACUAUUGUUGUGUUUUAGGAAGUUUUAGGAAACCUUCACAUCUCAAGUGAAGUUGUUACAGAAUCUCAGUAUUAUUUCUGGAAACUGUCUACGUUGUGAAACACUCCUUGGCAAGGAGACUCUGGCAAACUGAUUUCUGUGCAGCAGUGUCCAUCAUUUCUUCUGAGAUGCAAAUUGUGAUCUGACUGAUCUCCCAGCACUGGCUUGUUUCAAUGUUCGAGAGAGAGAGAGAAUGGUAAGCCAAUAGUUAUGUUUUCAAAUAAUCACCUCUUAAAUGACUGUUUUGUUUUGCAGAAUGUGUAUGUUUUGUUUUGAAAAAAUAUUGUGGUAUUCCUUAAAAAUGUCAGACUGUCAAUGUUGCCACGUAAAAGUUUGUUUUAUUUUAGAUUUGGUGCUGAAAAACUUUUCUUUAUCAGCAAUUCAGUAUAUGAGUCUGGUAUAGAAUUACAAAAAUGUUCUUGAAGUCAUGUUUUUAUUCCCCAGAAUGUGAAUUAUUAAAGGAGAAAGGAAUUAGUAGUAUUCCUAUGGGGAUUUUGAGCAUGAUGUAAACGGAGUCAAUAGGAAUCUUGACCAUUUAAUGAAAAUCUUGAAAUAACAAUCUGGUUCACUUUAGCUAAAAAAGAUACUAACUUCAAAUUGAAAAAAAGAAAUGCAAAGCAACACCCCUCGGUACUGACCUGGACUUCGGUUGUGGUGUCAGUGCUAAAAUUACUCUGACCUGUACUGAAGCCCAGAAAAAUAAUGAGCUGCUUGUCAAUUUUAAAAUUAAUGAAAAAUAAGUAUUGAAUGGCAUGGAUAGAUUUGACAUUUGUUCUAGGCCAAUUCUUCUUACCUCUUACCUUUUCAUUUCUCAUAGAUGUGUGGAAGUAGGAAUCUGUUUUCACCUGUAUUAUGCUCAACACUAAAAUUAGCUGAGAACAGUUGGAAAGAAUUAAACUGGCUGACUCCUGUAUUUUCCAGCUGACAACGGAAAGUAUUGACUCUGUAUCUGUCUGUUUAGAAUUUCCAAAUCCUACAGCCUGGUACCUCUUGUAGUAUGUGAGACUGAAAUUCUUGCAGUUUAAGGUAGUCAAGGCUACACUGUUUAGGGCCAUAGUCUGUCUUGGUGUAUCACUGUGGUAGCUGUGUCUGGGAUAUUACUGAAGCAGUGAAAAGAGUAAUGAUAAUUGCAAGUGUCAGUAUUGGAUACAAGUUUAUAAUUCUACAGAAUUGCUAUUUGCUUUCAUAGAGUAUGUUGGGGGUUUUAUGGUUUUUGUGGGGAAGAUACAAAGAAAGUGCUUGAAACUGCAAUGGAACCUGUGGUAUGAGAGCUGUUCUGAAGCUGCAGAAAGUCUUGCUUUCUGGAAUAGCAGGGAAAAGAACAAAUCAGUUUUAGGGAAGCCUAGCCUCCCUGUAAAGAAAGCUGCUGAGUGUGAAGCCAUAGAUACUCUCCAGAAUAAUUUGUGCAUUGCUCCUGCACGUUCCACCUGCCACUUUGGUCAGUGAGGAACUAGUGAAGUGAAAAUGACAUAAAGUGAUUUGGAGAAAAAAACAAAGGAGAAGAAAAGGUAGAAGGAAGACUGACAAAUACAGGAUGAAAAGUGAAUUGAAAAGGACAAGUUCAAUGAAAGAUCAGUUUGGCAAACAGAAAUAGGAAGGACAGAUGAAAUUGGCAAUAAGGAAAGAGAAUGUUAUGGGAGUAAGGGUGAAGAAUUUUUGUUUGUUUGUUUUAGCUAUGUUAUAAAAGUUCCUUAAAAUCUUCCAUAUUAGUCUUCCUGCCUAAACUGAUAGAGAAGUGCUGGCUUAUAUUUAAGCUAUUUUAGUUCUGUCAUUGGAGAUGGUUCAUGGAGGGUAGUUGCUGACAAGUUUGAGAAUAAAGAAACAAAGUGACCCAUAAGCUAUUAAUCCUAAUUGAUAGGUUGUAAAGGGCCAGGAUUUUCAGCUGGUUAUUAUUCUGUUCAAGAUGCAGCAAGUGUGUGUGAACAGUUGUUUCAUUACAGUUCAGUUAUCAGAUGGGGUAAUCAGCCUGAGACAAUAGCACUCUAAGAGGCUGAAAUGAAUAGAAUAGGUGAGUUGGAAGGGAUGUACAAAGAUAUCCAGUGCCAUUGUCUGACCACUUCAUGGCUAAUGAAAAGUUAAAGGAUAUGAUUGAGGGCAUUAUUCAAAUGACUCUUGAACACAGUCAGGCAUGGGUCAUCAACCACGGGAAGCCUGGGAACCUCUGGAAAGUGUUUGACCACUUUAAUGGUAUUAAAAAAAAAAUGUAUCUAAUCUGAACCACCUCAGUGCAAUUUUAUGCCAUUUCCACACAUCCUGCUGUCGGUCACCAGGAAGAUGUCAAGCUGGCUGUCUGUUGAGCCACACUAGCUAUAUCUGCAAAAUGUAUCUUGUUUAUGACUUACAGGGAGUGUCCUAGUGAGAUCAACUCAAGAUAAUUAGAUGUGAUUAAUAAAAUAUCUGGGCCAUAUCCUCCUUUCCUUACUGACCUUACUCCAGAAGAGCUUUGAGCUGCUCUUGAGAAAAUACCGAGCCCUUCUGUUUUAGUUCUACAGCAUUCACAACUUCAUAAAGGGUUUUAGUGCUCAGCACAGAAGAUAACUUUGGGGAGAAAGAGACGAAUGAGUCUUCCUGAAUCCGGGAGCCAAGCUCCCCAUGUGGAGAUGCAUGGCAAAUAUGUGAGUUGCUGUUGCCCUGGAGCUACAGCAACAGCUGCCAAGCAGCUGGGCUGAGCAGGGAGGACCUCUGAUGUACCUUUUCAGCAAAUUGUCCAUUCAUUUUGAUUCUGCACUGAGUUCAGGAUUUUGGCAAGAGGAACUAUGGAAAAGCUUUUGAACAGAGAAUGGAUUUAGGAGAAUGUGGGAAACGUUGGAAAAUUCAGAGAUACUGCAUACUAAUAAUCAAAUAAGCAAGUCUAUAUGAGCUGAAUCCUGGGAUGAUAAUAGUUUUGGCAGACAAUUUCUCUGAACAUCUUCCAGUUUCUAAAAAUUCACAGACAACUGAGGCAAGAGAAAGACUUGAAAAACUACAGAAAUGGUGUUGGUAUUUGGAUCAGUAGUGCAGAGAGUUGAGCAAGGGAAAUAUGUUGGAAUGAAGAAAUUUUAGUCAAAUUGUGAGAGUUUGAUUUGUUUCCCUUUCAAUUUUUUUAUAAGCACUAAUUGAAAUUACUAACAAAUACAUCAGAAAUGAAGGUAACACAUCUAUGCAGGAAGGUUGUAGAUUGGCUGUUGUGUGUAACGCAAUGCACAUAGGUAUCUGAGUAUUUGUAUAGUUUCCCUGAUUCUUUUCUAAACAGAAUGAAUUGUAUUUAAUAUAUGACGAUACCUUAACUUGUCUUAGAACACACGUGAAGAGUGGGUAAAAAAAACAAAACAACACAAAACCUAAUUUCUGACCGUGGAAAAGAGCACUUGCUAAAAAAAAAGUAAUGAACCGUCCCUUGAUUUUGUGCACAGAAAGGGGUGUGUGUGAGUGAAGAAUACCUGGAAUUUGGCUUUGCAGAGGUUGUGAAAAGGUCUGUUUUCCAAUAUGCAGUUGGUGGGAUAAAGUACUCGCUUCAGUAAAUUCAGCUGAGUCUAAGUAUACACAUGCAUUAUAUUGAGCAGACGUUUCCUCUCUGAAACUGCCUCCAAAAAAAGGAUUAUGCUUCUUAGAAUAAGGACAUAACAGCACAAACAGGACAGUAUCUUUUUAAAAUUAAAAAUGUUUCUUUAUCAUUAGGAGGUUGGCUAUAUAACACAUCUGUUUGAGACUACCAAAGAGUGUUGGGUGCAUAUGUGGCUGCUGGUAGGAACUGGUAGGUAGAUGGAGCCAUAGAUACUUUGAUGCUAUUGCUUUUUUUUGGUAUCUCAUUCAGUCUGAGUAAAAUGGGAAAAAUCUGGUAGAUACAUUAUUGUAGGAAAAUCUGUUAGUUAAAAGCACAAACGAGAGCUUCAUCACAAUGGGAUCAGUUUAAUCCUUUGCAAAGCAAAUAUCAGAGAACUUCAUCAACUGUUCUGUCCACCCUGUCAGUUGUGAGUGACAGUUACUUGGAUUCAGUUUCCUAGAUGGAUGCAUAUUUCUGAUUUGCUUUAAUCAUCUGUUUUCACUGUUAAUACUGCUUGAAUAUUUUCAGUCUAUUGUUGGAGUAACUUGCAGAAAUCCUGUACAAUUUUCUACUGCAGUUCACAGACAUUUCUUUUAAAACAGAGGGAAAAGCUGCUUUUAUUUUUAAGCAUUCACGCUGCUCUAUCAGGAGGUAUUCACUUUUCUUUUCUCUUCUCCUACGCCUCAAGGCUUAAGCCAGAAUUUAAAUUCUGCGAGUUUUGGACUGGUCACUGCUGAAAACUAAGAGCAAUGGAUGAGGCCUGAGUGUGACUGACAUGUUCAUAUUCAUCAGAAAAUGGAGUCAGCAGGAAAGAAUGAGGGGAGUAAUUGUUACAUUGUUCCCUCCUUCUCUGCUUGUGGAAAAAGACAUAGGCUGCAGGGAGGAAGCUACCUGAGGUUAUUAAGAUUAAUACUGCUAGAAAUUCCAAUCAGCUCACACAAGGCUGCUCCUCAAGGCUGUCAGAUGCCUACUGCCUUCUCUGAUUCAGGUGGGGCCACAUCAAUUUUGAAUUUCCCAACAGAGAUUGCUAUGAUUUAUGAGUUUAGGAGGCUGAUAAAUAUGGUUAGUUGAAGUGUUCAUGAAAUAAUUGAAUCAGAAUAAUUUCAAUCAUCUGUGCUCAAUUUAUUUUCUGCAGUAACCGCAGGAGGGUGCAGUUCUGUGCUGGGAGCUUCAUCUCAAGGAUUCCUAUCACAGGAAAGGCAUUGUGGAACCUGGAAAAGAGCAACUUAAUUUUGCUGUCAGGCCUGUAUGACAGCCUUAUGAGCUGAUUUAAGACCUAUCAGAACUGGAGACAGAACCCAGAGUGCUAGUAACAACACUGGUUACAUAGUCCUCAGAAGAAGAGAUCUGAGUGGUUAUUGAGAGGACCAGCACAGCUUCUGCCCAGAAGGGAAUCAUCUGUGUUGUUAUACAUAAAUGAAGAUGACAAAACUCCUUUUCAGUCUCCCAGUGAUUGACUGAUUUAGUAACUUACGGUUAUCUGACUCCCAUUCAAGUCUAUGAAAAUCUGCUGAUGACUUUCAGUGGAGAAGAAUCAAACCUAGUGGCCUUCAUCUUACAAAGCUCACGCAAUUUGCUCACAGACUCAAGUGUUGUCUGUUAAAAAAAAAAAAGCAUAAUGCAUGUAGAAGUGUUGUAUCCAAAAGCAGGUGCCUCGAGCAAGACUCUAAACCACAGCAAGUGACCAGCAUGUAGACGACAGUAACAGACCAUUGCCACGUGACUGGGGCUGGUAAUGCCAUUAAUUAAAAGUCUUUUUUUAUGGAAAGGGGUUAAGACACAUACAUUCCUUUUCAACAUCCUCCCUCCUCCCAAGUUUUAAUCUCUUCCUCGAAAACACACGUGUGCAUGUUCAACCUGGUAUAGAAUAAUAGAAUAAUAAAGUGCGUAACAGCCAGUUGACCCUGUAGACCACAGGUAACGAAGAGCAGAACUGCGCAUUUUGUGGCCGUCAGCAGCGAUGUGGGGGUGGCAUGGUACCCAGCAUAGGAAAGUGACCCAGAGCAGAGGGAUAAAAGAACCUUUGUAUCCUGUUGUGCCUGAACAGCAUGAGCUGGUCUGGGGAACGGUCAUCUCUGCCCUUCAGACUACAAUUGCAUCCAGCCCCCCGUGCUAUGCAGGUUUCUUGUUCACUGGGUGAUCUUGAAGUGGCCUUGCUAAAAGCUCUCCCUGCCAUUUCCAAAGGAGAUAAAUCUACCUAGAGCCCUGGGAAGCAGGAUUCUCUUCUGUUUGAAGGCAGUGAAGGACCAGUGGUGAACUGGCAGUGAUCAUGCCAGAGCCCCUCAUCACUCCAGCCCUCAGCAUGUGGACCCAGGUGACAUGCAUGCUAUGCUCUGCUCAGGAAGAUCACACUGAUCUUGAUAUGAUGAUGCAGGACAAGAAUACAUAGACUUGGCUGGAUCAAAAGCGAUGUGCUGAGACUCUAUAUCAUCUCGGUGCUUCAGGAGACUAAUUUCUGGACUAAACAUUCUUUGAAAUGAUUCCACAUUACGAGCUGCCGUCCCCACCUUAGUCAAGUCCUGUGAUCACCAAGGCAGACAAAGAGAAGCACAGAAAAUUGAGGACAAAUCAGGGGCUUCACAGACUGUUUUUAAAUGGAAGGAAACAAAAGAAAAAAUAUCACAAUUUGUACAAGAUGGUGAGAUGGAUUCAUUUUGUGAGUAAUAAAAUAAGUGUUGGUUCUCA